This 501-nucleotide ribosomal RNA is filed under the name uncultured soil bacterium. Its description in RNAcentral is "bacterial SSU rRNA". It matches the Rfam family "Bacterial small subunit ribosomal RNA", at positions 94 to 633 of the family's 1533-position model. The record is from RNAcentral.
AGCGGCGCAAGGGUGCGUAACACGUGGGUAAUCUGCCGUGAAGCCUGGAAUAACUCGCUGAAAGGCGAGCUAAUACCGGAUGUGACGUUGGCAUCCAAAGCUGCACUUCACGAUGAGCCCGCGGCCUAUCAGCUAGUUGGUGAGGUAACGGCCCACCAAGGCUAAGACGGGUAGCUGGUCUGAGAGGACGACCAGCCACACUGGAACUGAGACACGGUCCAGACACCUACGGGUGGCAGCAGUCGAGAAUUUUUCACAAUGGGCGAAAGCCUGAUGGAGCGACGCCGCGUGGGGGAUGAAUGGCUUCGGCCCGUAAACCCCUGUCAUUUGCGAACAAUGAUUGUAGCGAAAGAGGAAGGGACGGCUAACUCUGUGCCAGCAGCCGCGGUAAUACAGAGGUCCCAAGCGUUGUUCGGAUUCACUGGGCGUAAAGGGUGCGUAGGCGGUCGGGUAAGUCUGACGUGAAAUCUCGCGGCUCAACCGCGAAACGGCAUCGGAUAC